GGUCAGCUGACACAUCCCUGCCAAUCUCCGGCAGACCCUCCCUCCCAGACCCUCCUACUUCCUGGACAGCAUCCAUGUUGAAGGCAGCUUCAACAUGAAUGCUGUCCAGGAGGUGGGAGGGUCUGGGAGGGAGGGUCUGCCGGAGAUUGGCAGGGAUGUGUCAGCUG
Molecule: non-coding RNA, 167 nt
Organism: Pelobates cultripes (western spadefoot toad)
Lineage: Eukaryota; Metazoa; Chordata; Amphibia; Anura; Pelobatidae
Source: the annotation of a GenBank genome assembly